UACGUAGGCGGUUCCGUGUGUCGGGUGUGAAAUCCCACGGCUUACCCGUGGAACUGCACCCGAAACUGCGGGGCUAGAGUGCAGGAGGGGAGAGCGGAAUUCUUAGUGUAGCGGUGAAAUGCGUUGAUAUUAAGAAGAACACCGGUGGCGAAGGCGGCUCUCUGGAAUGUUACUGACGCUGAUGUACGAAAGUUGGGGAGCAAACA
RNAcentral lists this ribosomal RNA (206 nucleotides) under uncultured bacterium. RNAcentral describes it as "partial 16S ribosomal RNA". It matches the Rfam family "Bacterial small subunit ribosomal RNA", at positions 568 to 774 of the family's 1533-position model. The record is from RNAcentral.